GACGAACGCUGGCGGCGUGCUUAACACAUGCAAGUCGAACGGAGAGGCCCUGCUUUUGUGGGGUGCUCGAGUGGCGAACGGGUGGGUAACACGUGAGUAACCUGCCCUUGACUUUGGGAUAACUUCAGGAAACUGGGGCUAAUACCGGAUAGGAGCUCCUGCUGCAUGGUGGGGGUUGGAAAGUUUCGGCGGUUGGGGAUGGACUCGCGGCUUAUCAGCUUGUUGGUGGGGUAGUGGCUUACCAAGGCUUUGACGGGUAGCCGGCCUGAGAGGGUGACCGGCCACAUUGGGACUGAGGUACGGCCCAGACUCCUACGGGAGGCAGCAGUGGGGAAUAUUGCACAAUGGGCGGAAGCCUGAUGCAGCAACGCCGCGUGCGGGAUGACGGCCUUCGGGUUGUAAACCGCUUUCGCCUGUGACGAAGCGUGAGUGACGGUAAUGGGUAAAGAAGCACCGGCUAACUACGUG
RNAcentral lists this ribosomal RNA (468 nucleotides) under uncultured bacterium. Its description in RNAcentral is "partial 16S ribosomal RNA". It matches the Rfam family "Bacterial small subunit ribosomal RNA", at positions 28 to 507 of the family's 1533-position model. The record is from RNAcentral.